RNAcentral lists this small RNA (172 nucleotides) under Chelonoidis abingdonii (Abingdon island giant tortoise). Its description in RNAcentral is "TUC338 (ENSCABG00000005419.1)". The record is from RNAcentral. Lineage: Eukaryota; Metazoa; Chordata; Testudines; Testudinidae.
AUCAUGGUUCUCGGAGCCUGAACCUCUGUCAAGGAAAAGGUUCAGCAUUAGUUAUGCCAGUGCAGGCUCCCUAACACUCUCGCAUCAUUGUGCUUCAGCUCUGAUCUGAGGGACCAGGCCUAGGGCUGAAAGAACAGGUCAGUCUCCAUGGCCCAUUCAGGCCUUGAUUCAA